GACAGAGGGUGCAAACGUUGUUCGGAAUUACUGGGCGUAAAGCGUGUGUAGGCGGCCACGUAAGUCGGAUGUGAAAGCCCCAGGCUCAACCUGGGAAGUGCACUCGAUACUGCGUGGCUUGAGUAUCGGAGAGGUUGGUGGAAUUGGGGGUGUAGCGGUGGAAUGCGUAGAGAUCCCCAAGAACACCAGUUGCGAAGGCGGCUGGCUGGACACAUAUUGACGCUGAGGCUCGAAAGCAUGGGGAGCAAACAGG
This 253-nucleotide ribosomal RNA is filed under the name uncultured bacterium. Its description in RNAcentral is "partial 16S ribosomal RNA". It matches the Rfam family "Bacterial small subunit ribosomal RNA", at positions 524 to 776 of the family's 1533-position model. The record is from RNAcentral.